Molecule: ribosomal RNA, 1044 nt
Filed under: Salmonella enterica
Lineage: Bacteria; Pseudomonadati; Pseudomonadota; Gammaproteobacteria; Enterobacterales; Enterobacteriaceae
Description: partial 23S ribosomal RNA
Rfam family: Bacterial large subunit ribosomal RNA
Source: RNAcentral
UGGGGUGGGGUGACUGCGUACCUUUUGUAUAAUGGGUCAGCGACUUAUAUUCUGUAGCAAGGUUAACCGAAUAGGGGAGCCGGAGGGAAACCGAGUCUUAAUUGGGCGUUAAGUUGCAGGGUAUAGACCCGAAACCCGGUGAUCUAGCCAUGGGCAGGUUGAAGGUUGGGUAACACUAACUGGAGGACCGAACCGACUAAUGUUGAAAAAUUAGCGGAUGACCUGUGGCUGGGGGUGAAAGGCCAAUCAAACCGGGAGAUAGCUGGUUCUCCCCGAAAGCUAUUUAGGUAGCGCCUCGUGAAUUCAUCUCCGGGGGUAGAGCACUGUUUCGGCUAGGGGGCCAUCCCGGCUUACCAACCCGAUGCAAACUGCGAAUACCGGAGAAUGUUAUCACGGGAGACACACGGCGGGUGCUAACGUCCGUCGUGAAGAGGGAAACAACCCAGACCGCCAGCUAAGGUCCCAAAGUCAUGGUUAAGUGGGAAACGAUGUGGGAAGGCCCAGACAGCCAGGAUGUUGGCUUAGAAGCAGCCAUCAUUUAAAGAAAGCGUAAUAGCUCACUGGUCGAGUCGGCCUGCGCGGAAGAUGUAACGGGGCUAAACCAUGCACCGAAGCUGCGGCAGCGAACGUAUCACCCAAGACAACUUUACGGAGUUGACGAUUGACGGAGCGAAGCGACGUCAAAGCGUUCAUUAAAGUCGAGUUGGCUUAGGGAUACGUUCGUUGGGUAGGGGAGCGUUCUGUAAGCCUGUGAAGGUGUGUCGUGAGGCAUGCUGGAGGUAUCAGAAGUGCGAAUGCUGACAUAAGUAACGAUAAAGCGGGUGAAAAGCCCGCUCGCCGGAAGACCAAGGGUUCCUGUCCAACGUUAAUCGGGGCAGGGUGAGUCGACCCCUAAGGCGAGGCCGAAAGGCGUAGUCGAUGGGAAACGGGUUAAUAUUCCCGUACUUGGUGUUACUGCGAAGGGGGGACGGAGAAGGCUAUGUUGGCCGGGCGACGGUUGUCCCGGUUUAAGCGUGUAGGUGUGUGUUCCAGGUAAAUCCGGUU